CAGGGAAUCUUCGGCAAUGGACGAAAGUCUGACCGAGCAACGCCGCGUGAGUGAAGAAGGUUUUCGGAUCGUAAAACUCUGUUGUUAGAGAAGAACAAGGACGUUAGUAACUGAACGUCCCCUGACGGUAUCUAACCAGAAAGCCACGGCUAACUACGUGCCAGCAGCCGCGGUAAUACGUAGGUGGCAAGCGUCGUCCGGAUUUAUUGGGCGGAAAGCGAGCGCAGGCGGUUUAUUAAGUCUGAUGUGAAAGCCCCCGGCUCAACCGGGGAGGGUCAUUGGAAACUGGGAGACUUGAGUGCAGAAGAGGAGAGUGGAAUUCCAUGUGUAGCGGUGAAAUGCGUAGAUAGAUGGAGGAACACCAGUGGCGAAGGCGGCUCUCUGGUCUGUAACUGACGCGGAGGCUCGAAAGCGUGGGGAGCAAAGAGG
RNAcentral lists this ribosomal RNA (429 nucleotides) under Gemmatimonadota bacterium. Its description in RNAcentral is "Gemmatimonadetes bacterium partial 16S ribosomal RNA". It matches the Rfam family "Bacterial small subunit ribosomal RNA", at positions 355 to 776 of the family's 1533-position model. The record is from RNAcentral. Lineage: Bacteria; Pseudomonadati; Gemmatimonadota.